Molecule: ribosomal RNA, 450 nt
Filed under: uncultured bacterium
Lineage: Bacteria
Description: partial 16S ribosomal RNA
Rfam family: Bacterial small subunit ribosomal RNA
Source: RNAcentral
CCUACGGGGGGCAGCAGUAAGGAAUAUUGGUCAAUGGACGAAAGUCUGAACCAGCCAUCCCGCGUGCAGGAUGAAAGCCCUAUGGGUUGUAAACUGCUUUUAGCAGAGAAGAAAAGCUUUCAUUAAUGAGAGUCUGACGGUAUCUGCAGAAUAAGCACCGGCUAACUCCGUGCCAGCAGCCGCGGUAAUACGGAGGGUGCGAGCGUUAUCCGGAUUUACUGGGUCUAAAGCGUGGGUAUACGGCAUAUGAGAGAUCUUGUAGAUUAACGAUAGAAUUGCCAAUGAUACUGGUACUCUUGAAUUGGGUUGAGGUUAGCGGAAUGUGACAUGUAGCGGUGAAAUGCAUAGAUAUGUCAUGGAACACCAAUUGCGAAGGCAGCUAACUGGGCCUUGAUUGACGCUGAGGCACGAAAGCGUGGGUAGCGAACAGGAUUAGAUACCCCGGUAGUC